AUGAACGCUAGCGGCAGGCCUAACACAUGCAAGUCGAGGGGCAGCACAGGUAGCAAUACUGGGUGGCGACCGGCGGAUGGGUGCGUAACGCGUAUGCAACCUACCAUUGAUUGGGGCAUAGCCCGAAGAAAUUCGGAUUAAUACUCCAUAAUAUUCAUCAAAGGCAUCUUUUAUGAAUUAAAGCUUUUGCGAUCAAUGAUGGGCAUGCGUGACAUUAGUUAGUUGGUGAGGUAAUGGCUCACCAAAACGAUGAUGUCUAGGGGUUCUGAGAGGAUUAUCCCCCACACUGGUACUGAGACACGGACCAGACUCCUACGGGAGGCAGCAGUGAGGAAUAUUGGUCAAUGGACGCAAGUCUGAACCAGCCAUGCCGCGUGCAGGAUGACGGCCCUAUGGGUUGUAAACUGCUUUUCCACGGGAAGAACCCUCCGACGUGUCGGAGACUGACGGUACCGUGGGAAUAAGCAUCGGCUAACUCCGUG
Molecule: ribosomal RNA, 482 nt
Filed under: uncultured bacterium
Lineage: Bacteria
Description: bacterial SSU rRNA
Rfam family: Bacterial small subunit ribosomal RNA
Source: RNAcentral